This 700-nucleotide long non-coding RNA is filed under the name Homo sapiens (human). RNAcentral describes it as "testis expressed 41". The record is from RNAcentral. Lineage: Eukaryota; Metazoa; Chordata; Mammalia; Primates; Hominidae.
GGCCUCCAUCUUGAAAACGGAAAAUAAAAACAGCAGACCUAUGAAGGUCGAAGGGGAAGAAAAGCUGUAUCGAUUGUUGAGAUCUGGCGACUUGUUUAAAUUUCAUCAGCCUCACUUCUAUGAACUCUCAGAGCUGAUUACCAACUCCUACCACUGUUAACCCUCAUCCAGGAACAAGCUUAUGUCUUUAACAUUCUGAGUGGGCUUCAGCAUCCUUGCAUAUGUUCAAUUCUUAAAAACCUGUUGAAAUAAAAGAUCAGGAGACAUAGGAAGGAUGCCAGAAGAGAGCGUGGCCUCACGUGUACCAGCUCUCUGCUCUCCUUUGCCUUGGGACGUUCCAUCCCUGGAAGUUUCCCUGCCCACAUCUUUGUAGAGAGUCCAUUCUCCAAGCUUCAGUGUGUCAUCUGUGAGGACCGUGACCCACCUGGUACAUCGCCUCAGGGCAUUCAUUUCAGGCUCCUUCUAAAUGGCCAAGUUUUCAAGAUUGUUUUGGCUCUAGCAAAACAAGUUGGAACAUUCACAUCAUCCACUGCACUGAUGAGGAAACUGAAACAGAAAAUCCAGAGUAAAUUCCACCAGGCCACACAGCAAGGUCUGAUAGAGCCAGGAGAGACUUUAUGAAAUCCAGACUCUCACACUAAUGCUCUAUCAGCUAGACCUCCAUGUGAGUCUCCCCAAUGUAGGUAGGAAGUGCUUUCCC